AAGGUACCGUCAGCCCAGACAAGUCCGGGGGUUUCUUCCCUUAUAAAAGCAGUUUACAACCCAUAGGGCAUUCAUCCUGCACGCGGGAUGGCUGGAUCAGGCUUCCGCCCAUUGUCCAAUAUUCCUU
This 127-nucleotide ribosomal RNA is filed under the name uncultured bacterium. RNAcentral's name for it is "partial 16S ribosomal RNA". The record is from RNAcentral.